Molecule: ribosomal RNA, 3762 nt
Filed under: Triticum aestivum (bread wheat)
Lineage: Eukaryota; Viridiplantae; Streptophyta; Magnoliopsida; Poales; Poaceae
Description: partial small subunit ribosomal RNA
Source: RNAcentral
AUGAUUGAGGGCGGCUCACACAUGCAGCCUCAGCCGGGGAACGCUCACACGGCGAACAGCGAGCAGCCCGAGCCGGCCACCACGCCGAUGAACGGCAUGGCUGCUUCGGGGCCAGGCAAUGGCCAGAUGGCAGAUGAAGCAGCCGCCAGCGGAGCGACGGAGGAUAUCGAGGCGGCCGGCAACAACAAUGGGCAAGGUCCGCCCAACAGGUCAUCCAGCAUCAAGGAUGAUUUCGAGUUCUUGUGGAGGCUGCGGAAGUAUUUGCUACUUCUGGCGGUGUUGGCCGUUGGUGUCACCUACAAUGCUGGGUUGAGCCCGCCGGGGGGAUUUCAGAUGGACAGACUUGACCGCCAUGCCGGCGAUCCUCUCCUCCCACUUAAAUUCUUCCGGCGAUACGAAGCCUUCUUUUACUGCAACGCCACAGCCUUUGCUGCUUCUCUAGUCUUGAUCAUCUUGCUUCUGAGUAGGGGAGUGGCGAGCAAGCAUGUCUGGCUUCGCUCGAUGCAGUUUACCAUGAUCCUGGAUCUUUUCAGUCUCAUGGGGGCAUAUGCCGCGGGGAGUUGCAGAGUACUAAGGUCUUCCAUUUACAUAUUGGUGCUGGUCUGUUCUGUUUUCGCCUAUGUUGCGGUUCAUAUCCUGUUGUUCAUGAGGGUAGUUCCACAGCCGUUAAAAGAUCAGGUGCAGAAAACCCGGGAUAUCAUUCUGAAGAAGCUGAAACGCAUGCUAAAAAAGGUGCCAUCUAUUUGCCCUGUCUCUGAUCCUGACGGGCAAAGGAGCAACCGAGAUUACGCAAGGGAGAUCGAGGAGGCUCGCAAGUUCAUAUUGAUGCUUGCAACCUUUGCUGCUACUAUCACAUACCAAGCUGGGAUAAGUCCACCUGGUGGCUUUUGGGGUGCAAAUAAUCCUGAACACCGUGCAGCUACUUUUGUUCUCCGCAAGCACAAUCUCCUCCGCUUCAAUAUUUUCAUGUGUUGCAAUGCGACCUCUUUUGUGGCGUCUUUGGUCACAGUCAUACUGCUUCUGAGCACGGAACUGAGCACGCAUGGGAUAAGGACUCAAGCGCUGUCUGUGUGCGUCGUGGCUGAUCUGCUGGGGCUCAUUGGUGCUUAUGCUUCAGGGAGCUGCAGGGAUGUUGCAACAUCGUUGUCAGUGAUACUCAUAAUUGCUGUGGUUCUUAUCUGUGUUCUGAUUCUUGUCAUUUGCCUUCAUUGCAAAGCUGUAACGGUGUGGGUGGAUGGGGCGCUGAAGCCAGCACUUGACAAAAUGCUGAGUGCGCUGUCAUUGGGGCAAGAUGAUUCUCCAAGAGCUCACCAGCAAUGUACAUAUUGUCAGAGAAUGCACCAUCAAGAUACAGAGCUUGUUUCUCAGAGAACUCACCAGCAAGAUACAGAUCUUGAUUCUCAGAGGAUUCACCAACAAGAUACAGAGCUUGACUCUCAGAGAGCUCAGCAGCAAGAUGCAGAACUUGAUUCUCAGAGGAUUCGCGAGCAAGAUACAGAGCUUGAUUCUCUGACAACUCAUCAGCAAGCUACAGAGCAUGUAGUUCGAGAUACAGAAGCAGAAGGUGUCAUGUCGAAUUUGCAGUGCUACUCUGCUGACAGAAAUCUUGUAUCAACUGGAGAUGUGAGAUCUGUAUCAACCAGUGAUUUGGAUAGCAUGGAGGACAUCAUGCCAACAACACUACGUCAAUCUCAUGACCAGAGUGAACAUGCUGCAAUUAAAGUUGUAUGCUCAUCAUCAACAGAUGCCCUAACUACCGAGGAAGUUCCAUCGGACAACUUGGAAAUACAACCUGCUGGCGGUCAGCAGGUUGCAAUCCCCAUGGCACUAUCAUCAAGUGACAGUAGAAAUUCUAUCCAAGGUACUUUACCGUUGCAGGGCUCGGUGGACGAAAAUGCAACAUCUGGUAACCUGAGGAUAGAUGCUGAUGAUCCGGCAAUGGGAUGUGAAUUACCCGACAACCAUGGGGACAGCACAGAACAGCAUGCUCAGCAAAUGUCCAAUAACCCUACUAGUGCAGAUGAUCGUGAUGUUAGAUUAGAGAUCGACAACACUGCCAAUGAUCAAGCCCCACAGCAUCAGAGAUGUAUUAAAUGCAGCUGUAGAAAUCCAGAUGAUGCUUUUCUGAAGAAGUCACGCACUUACCUAUUGCUUCUUGCAAUUCUUGCCGUGUCUUUGACAUAUCAAGCUGGUUUAAAUCCACCAGGUGGCUUCUGGACAUCAAAUGCCACAAAGCACUCUGCUGGUGAUCCCAUUCUUGGGGACAGUGGUCGCGUCUGGACAUCAAGUGGCACUAAGCACUCUGCUGGUGAUCCCAUUCUUGAGGACAAUUAUCAUAAGAGAUACCUUGCCUUCUUUUAUUUCAAUGCCACUGCAUUUGCAGCCUCCCUUGUCAUGAUCCUUAUGCUCCUGAGCAGGAAGAUGAGCAACAAGGUUAUAAAACGCCGGGCACUGCAGACAGCAAUGAUAACCGAUUUGCUUGCUCUAAUGGGGGCCUUUGUUGUUGGGAGUUGCAGGGAGAAGACAAAAUCUAUUUACAUAUCAGUGUCGAUAUUUAUCGUGGUUGCAUAUGUUCCUCUCCAUGUUUUUGUAUUUAGGCAUAAUGGAUGGUUGAAAGUGUGUGUUACCCAGAGGAUGAAGUUUGCACCACCUCAGACAGAUAAUGAGUCAAGAGAUGCUAAGGAGAAGGACUUGGCGCGGAGGCGGAAUUUGCUCUUUAUUCUUGCAAUUCUGGCGGCAACUGUCACGUACCAAGCUGGCCUGAACCCUCCAGGAGGCAUUUGGCCUGAUGAGAACAGUAAGGGUGGCAAACCAGGCAAUCCAGUUCUUCAAGACAGCCACCCAGAGCGCUAUAAUGUUUUCUACUACUCGAACGCCGUCUCAUUUGCGUCAUCUGUGGCUGUCAUCAUUCUUCUUGUUAACAGGGAAUCAUGUGAGGAUGGAAUCAAGUCGUACGCAAUUCGUGUGUGCUUGGUAGCAGGUUUGCUGGGCCUCCUGAUUGCUUAUUCUGCAGGAACCUGCAGGAAAGCGAGACCGGUAAUAUAUCUUAUUGUCAUAGCCUCUGCAGCUCUAACAUGCCUUGUGAUUCAAGUACUUGUACUACAAGAUGCAUUAGAUGGGCCACUGACCUGGUUAAGGGGUCGGUUGCGGGAGAUUCUUCAUCUAGAGCCUGACUCUGAGACACCGCUGGAAAGUUCAGAUGAAGAAAACAAGGAACGUAAUGCUCAGGGGUCAGGCCCCCUUAUCAGUGAGAAGAAGGAAAAGAAGAGACAGAAGUACUUGAUGCUUCUUUCGGUUCUUGCUGCAUCCAUUGCGUACCAAGCCGGUCUAAACCCGCCUGGUGGCUUCUGGCCUGAUGACACUCCCAAAAAUGGUUACAAGGCUGGCAACCCGGUACUUAAGGACAUAAACUCCUGGCGCUACAUGGUAUUCUAUGUCUUCAAUUCCAUCUCUUUCAUGUCAUCUAUUGCUGUAGUCAUGCUUCUGCUGAGUAAAUCUGUGAGACAGAAGAAGGUUCCGCUCCAAGCAUUGCACUUCAUCAUGAUACUGGACCUGUUGGCUCUGAUGACAGCUUAUGCAGCUGGAAGUUGCAGAAAGUUCAGGACUUCAAUAUUCAUCCUCGUGGUAGUAUGUUGUGUGCUGGUGUACCUUCUGUUUAUUAUUAUCUUGUCAAGUCGCAUAGCAAGAUGGCUGAAAAAACAGAAAAACAAGGUGGCUUCCUUGCUGCUGGAGCCUAGCCAUGCUGCUGCAACUUCAGCAUGA